GUCCCUGUAGCGCAAUGGAGUGCGCGCUGGACUUCUGAUCCAAAGGACGUGGGUUUGAAUCGCAUCUGGGAUG
Molecule: non-coding RNA, 73 nt
Organism: Trichonephila clavipes
Lineage: Eukaryota; Metazoa; Arthropoda; Arachnida; Araneae; Nephilidae
Source: the annotation of a GenBank genome assembly